AAGAGAGGAGAGAGAGACAGCACCGAAUGAAGACUGUAAAAGAAAAGAAGGAAUGCCAAAGAUUGAGAUCUUAUCUAGUAAGCUGCCUCAGAGGGGCCAGUCCAACAGAGGUUUCCAUGGAUUCCUGCCUGAAGACAUCAAAAAGGAGGCAGCCCGGGCUUCUAGGAAGAUCUGCUUUGUGUGCAAGAAAAAGGGAGCUGCUAUCAACUGCCAGAAGGAUCAGUGCCUCAGAAACUUCCAUCUGCCUUGUGGCCAAGAAAGGGGUUGCCUUUCACAAUUUUUUGGAGAGUACAAAUCAUUUUGUGACAAACAUCGCCCAACACAGAACAUCCAACAUGGGAAUGUGGGGGAGGAAAGCUGCAUCUUAUGUUGUGAAGACUUAUCCCA
RNAcentral lists this small RNA (387 nucleotides) under Pan troglodytes (chimpanzee). RNAcentral describes it as "processed transcript". Lineage: Eukaryota; Metazoa; Chordata; Mammalia; Primates; Hominidae. The record is from RNAcentral.